RNAcentral lists this ribosomal RNA (774 nucleotides) under uncultured Leuconostoc sp. Its description in RNAcentral is "bacterial SSU rRNA". It matches the Rfam family "Bacterial small subunit ribosomal RNA", at positions 65 to 820 of the family's 1533-position model. Lineage: Bacteria; Bacillati; Bacillota; Bacilli; Lactobacillales; Lactobacillaceae. The record is from RNAcentral.
AACGCGCAGCGAGAGGUGCUUGCACCUUUCAAGCGAGUGGCGAACGGGUGAGUAACACGUGGAUAACCUGCCUCAAGGCUGGGGAUAACAUUUGGAAACAGAUGCUAAUACCGAAUAAAACUUAGUAUCGCAUGAUAUCAAGUUAAAAGGCGCUACGGCGUCACCUAGAGAUGGAUCCGCGGUGCAUUAGUUAGUUGGUGGGGUAAAGGCUUACCAAGACGAUGAUGCAUAGCCGAGUUGAGAGACUGAUCGGCCACAUUGGGACUGAGACACGGCCCAAACUCCUACGGGAGGCUGCAGUAGGGAAUCUUCCACAAUGGGCGCAAGCCUGAUGGAGCAACGCCGCGUGUGUGAUGAAGGCUUUCGGGUCGUAAAGCACUGUUGUAUGGGAAGAAAUGCUAAAAUAGGGAAUGAUUUUAGUUUGACGGUACCAUACCAGAAAGGGACGGCUAAAUACGUGCCAGCAGCCGCGGUAAUACGUAUGUCCCGAGCGUUAUCCGGAUUUAUUGGGCGUAAAGCGAGCGCAGACGGUUAUUUAAGUCUGAAGUGAAAGCCCUCAGCUCAACUGAGGAAUUGCUUUGGAAACUGGAUGACUUGAGUGCAGUAGAGGAAAGUGGAACUCCAUGUGUAGCGGUGAAAUGCGUAGAUAUAUGGAAGAACACCAGUGGCGAAGGCGGCUUUCUGGACUGUAACUGACGUUGAGGCUCGAAAGUGUGGGUAGCAAACAGGAUUAGAUACCCUGGNAGUCCACNNCCGUAAACGAUGAGUGCUAGG